This 450-nucleotide ribosomal RNA is filed under the name uncultured bacterium. Its description in RNAcentral is "partial 16S ribosomal RNA". It matches the Rfam family "Bacterial small subunit ribosomal RNA", at positions 354 to 796 of the family's 1533-position model. The record is from RNAcentral.
GUGGGGAAUAUUGGACAAUGGGCGAAAGCCUGAUCCAGCCAUGCCGCGUGUGUGAAGAAGGUCUUCGGAUUGUAAAGCACUUUAAGUUGGGAGGAAGGGCAGUAAGUUAAUACCUUGCUGUUUUGACGUUACCGACAGAAUAAGCACCGGCUAACUUCGUGCCAGCAGCCGCGGUAAUACGAAGGGUGCAAGCGUUAAUCGGAAUUACUGGGCGUAAAGCGCGCGUAGGUGGUUUUGUAAGUUGGAGGUGAAAUCCCCGGGCUCAACCUGGGAACUGCCUCCAAAACUGCAUGACUAGAGUACGGUAGAGGGUAGUGGAAUUUCCUGUGUAGCGGUGAAAUGCGUAGAUAUAGGAAGGAACACCAGUGGCGAAGGCGACUACCUGGACUGAUACUGACACUGAGGUGCGAAAGCGUGGGGAGCAAACAGGAUUAUAAACCCUAGUAGUCC